AUGACAGUGAACAUGUUCUAAACCUUCAGAUGGGCAUGGCUUUGCCCGCUGGUACUAGGUCACCUUUUUAAAAAGAGGCUGAAUCUGCCGGGCGCGGUGGCUCACGCCUGUAAUCCCAG
Molecule: long non-coding RNA, 119 nt
Organism: Sapajus apella (tufted capuchin)
Lineage: Eukaryota; Metazoa; Chordata; Mammalia; Primates; Cebidae
Exons: 3
Source: RefSeq, a predicted model, not a curated record